This 468-nucleotide ribosomal RNA is filed under the name uncultured bacterium. RNAcentral describes it as "bacterial SSU rRNA". It matches the Rfam family "Bacterial small subunit ribosomal RNA", at positions 29 to 507 of the family's 1533-position model. The record is from RNAcentral.
AGUGAACGCUGGCGGCGUGCUUAACACAUGCAAGUCGAACGAGAACGGAUUAUAGCUUGCUAUAAUUGUCAGCUAAGUGGCGCACGGGUGAGUAAUGUAUAGGUAAUAUGCCUCUUACUAAGGGAUAACAAAUGGAAACGUUUGCUAAUACCUUAUACUCCUUAUUAACAGAAGUUAAUAAGGGAAAGAUUUAUUGGUAAGAGAUUAGCCUGUAUUGUAUCAGUUAGUUGGUGGGGUAAUGGCUUACCAAGACUAUGACACAUAACUGGUUUGAGAGGAUGAUCAGUCACACUGGAACUGAGACACGGUCCAGACUCCUACGGGAGGCAGCAGUGGGGAAUCUUAGACAAUGGGCGCAAGCCUGAUCUAGCCAUGCCGCGUGAGCGAUGAAGGCCUUAGGGUUGUAAAGCUCUUUCAGUGGGGAAGAUAAUGACUGUACCCACAGAAGAAGCCCCGGCUAACUCCGUG